RNAcentral lists this ribosomal RNA (456 nucleotides) under uncultured bacterium. Its description in RNAcentral is "bacterial SSU rRNA". It matches the Rfam family "Bacterial small subunit ribosomal RNA", at positions 340 to 786 of the family's 1533-position model. The record is from RNAcentral.
UACGGAAGGCAGCAGUGGGGAAUAUUGCACAAUGGGCGAAAGCCUGAUGCGGCUAUGCCGCGUGUAUGAAGAAGGCCUUAGGGUUGUAAAGUACUUUCAUCGGGGAGGAAAAACAAAACUAAUAAUUUUAUUUCUUGACGUUACCCGAAAAAGAAGCACCGGCUAACUCCGUGCCAGCAGCCGCGGUAAUACGGAGGGUGCUAGCGUUAAUCAGAAUUACUGGGCGUAAAGAGCACGUAGGUGGUUUUUUUAAGUCAGAUGUGAAAUCCCUGGGCUUAACCUAGGAACUGCAUUUUGAAACUGAAAUACUAGAGUAUCGUAGAGGGAGGUAGAAUUCUAGGUGUAGCGGUGAAAUGCGUAGAUAUCUGGAGGAAUACCUGUGGCGAAAGCGGCCUCCUAAACGAAUACUGACACUGAGGGUGCGAAAGCGUGGGGAGCAAACAGGGAUUAGAUACC